This 449-nucleotide ribosomal RNA is filed under the name uncultured bacterium. RNAcentral's name for it is "partial 16S ribosomal RNA". It matches the Rfam family "Bacterial small subunit ribosomal RNA", at positions 29 to 523 of the family's 1533-position model. The record is from RNAcentral.
AACGAACGCUGGCGGCAGGCUUAAUACAUGCAAGUCGAACGCCCCUUUCGGGGGGAGUGGCAGACGGGUGAGUAACGCGUGGGAACGUGCCCAAAGGUAGGGAACAACUCCGGGAAACUGGAGUUAAUACCCUAAGUGCCCGAGAGGGGAAAGAUUUAUCGCCUUUGGAUCGGCCCGCGUUGGAUUAGCUAGUUGGUGGGGUAAAAGCCUACCAAGGCGACGAUCCAUAGCUGUUCUGAGAGGAAGAUCAGCCACACUGGGACUGAGACACGGCCCAGACUCCUACGGGAGGCAGCAGUAGGGAAUCUUGGACAAUGGGCGCAAGCCUGAUCCAGCCAUGCCGCGUGAGUGAUGAAGGCCUUAGGGUUGUAAAACUCUUUCGCAGGUGACGAUAAUGACGGUAACCUGAGAAGAAGCCCCGGCUAACUUCGUGCCAGCCGCCGCCGUAA